CGAGACAUAUAUUCCCAAGGAUCGCCAGUAUUACGAAGACAACUGUACGGAGAAAUUUGGUAUCGGUCCAAGGGUAGAGAAGAAAAGGGUACUGCUGAUAUAGUUGCACAGGUAUUUUUAAUUAGUUGAUUUACGUUAAUAGACGCCGGAAGUUUGCACAAAUAGCUAUGCAAUAAAUCAGCACCAGAAUUAUCCCAUAAAAGCUCAAUAAUGGAAGUACGGUUAUCAAGCACAACCUGAGCACACGUGUACACGACGGUAAGAGGAUGAGAAGAGAUGAAGAAGUCAAAUAACCUGCAUACCACCGAAAUGUCUGAAACAUCGUGUGCAAACCAAGUGAUUAACCAUGAAAGAGCAAAAUAACACUGGAUAUCUGCCUUUAUUAAAUACUCAUAAAGAGUGGGAUCGCGAGCCUUGAUAACUGCUAAAAUUAGCUGCAAUUGUUUCACCGUGCCAUCAAGGGUAGGAAGCAUAAAGUCCCGAAGACGGUAAAAUACUAGAUGCUCCAUUAAAGGGAGAGCAUGAGAGAAAGGAAGGGUAAGAAGCAAGAUCUGGGCAAUAUCAUGAAGACCUUGAUAGUAGCAUAGUUCCGGAUAAUGCUUAAAGACUACACUGAGCAGCUUGGUCAAUUGAGAACGGUGUUUACGAAGUAGAAAUGGAUUCAACUUGUACUGAAAGAAUGAUCGUUCCGAAUCCAAAUGAACCUGAUUCUGGUCGGCAUAAGAAGACUGAGAAGUAGAUCUCGAAAGACACUCCAUUCGAUGUCGACACGAUAAACCACAAAGACUGACCCAUACAGACUUGCGCAGACUCUU
Schizosaccharomyces pombe (fission yeast) is the source of this 815-nucleotide non-coding RNA. Lineage: Eukaryota; Fungi; Ascomycota; Schizosaccharomycetes; Schizosaccharomycetales; Schizosaccharomycetaceae. The record is from the annotation of a GenBank genome assembly.